AUGGCAUGGUGCUCCCGCGCCUGGCUCACGCUGUUUCUUCUUGCGUGUUGUGCCCUUGUGCAGAGGUCCUACGGCUCGAGACUGUCUCCCCGGGAGCCGAAGAAUCCCGGGGUCCUGUCUCCACCGAUGAUUCACGGCGCCGUCGAGACGGAACCACGCCGCCGCGAUGAUGGGGCGACCGAAGUCCGGCCGUCGACGGUGAAGGGUACGACUGGUCAUCAUGGAGCAGACGCUGACGGUGGUGGUGAGUCGUCGGAGCAGAGGAAGGGUUCAAGGCCGCCGGUGCUGCAGCAGGCGCUGGGAAGGAUGUUGGGUUCGAAGCUGGCGCGGCGGAUCCUGGGAGGGGAGGCGGAGGACUCGGCGGCCGGGCCGUCGUGCCACUCCAACAACGCGCACAUCACCUGUGCCCCGCCGGCGCAACACUGA
RNAcentral lists this ribosomal RNA (426 nucleotides) under Triticum aestivum (bread wheat). RNAcentral's name for it is "partial small subunit ribosomal RNA". The record is from RNAcentral. Lineage: Eukaryota; Viridiplantae; Streptophyta; Magnoliopsida; Poales; Poaceae.